ACGGGGCGCAGCAGGCGCGAAACCUCUGCAAUGGGCGAAAGCCUGACAGGGUUACUCUGAGUGAUUUCCGCUAAGGAGAUCUUUUGGCAGCUCUAAAAAUGGUGCAGAAUAAGGGGUGGGCAAGUCUGGUGUCAGCCGCCGCGGUAAUACCAGCACCCCGAGUGGUCGGGACGAUUAUUGGGCCUAAAGCAUCCGUAGCCGGUUGUGCAAGUCCUCCGUCAAAUCCAGCCGCUCAACGGAUGGGCUGCGGAGGAUACUACAGGACUAGGAGGCGGGAGAGGCAAGCGGUACUUAGUGGGUAGGGGUAAAAUCCUUUGAUCCAUUGAAGACCACCAGUGGCGAAGGCGGCUUGCCAGAACGCGCUCGACGGUGGGGGAUGAAAGCUGGGGGAGCAAACCGGAUUAGAUACCCGGGUAGUCCCAGCUGUAAACGAUGCAGACUCGGUGAUGGGCUAGCCUCGUGUCAGCCCAGUGCCGCAGGGAAGCCGUUAAGUCUGCCGCCUGGGGAGUACGGUCGCAAGACUGAAACUUAAAGGAAUUGGCGGG
Molecule: ribosomal RNA, 545 nt
Filed under: uncultured archaeon
Lineage: Archaea
Description: bacterial SSU rRNA
Rfam family: Archaeal small subunit ribosomal RNA
Source: RNAcentral